AGACAUGGAGAAGCCCCCACACAACUUCACAGCAGGGUGGCCCUGGAUGUUACCACCUAAAGCACAGCAGAGUACCUGAGACUGUGCCUCCCUGAACUUCUCUGAAACAAAACAAAAACCCUUGGUUGGCACCAUCUCACUUGGGAGGAGGCAGAUACCAGCUGAGAGGCAAAUCCAGAGCCUGCUACCCUCAUCCAGGACAUGUGCCUGCCUGCUUCCUAAUUUGGAAACAACAGUGUGUUCAGACCAGGGUAGAGGAAAGGAGCAAGAGCACUACAGUUUGCCCUCUGGCUGCCAGCAAACCAUCUUAGGAUUCAUUCUGAAUGUUUCAGGUUUCUGA
Molecule: long non-coding RNA, 340 nt
Filed under: Cyanistes caeruleus (blue tit)
Lineage: Eukaryota; Metazoa; Chordata; Aves; Passeriformes; Paridae
Description: lncRNA (ENSCCEG00000002773.1)
Source: RNAcentral